Molecule: regulatory RNA element, 152 nt
Rfam family: c-di-AMP riboswitch aptamer (ydaO/yuaA leader)
About the family: This family represents a conserved RNA structure found upstream of the ydaO and yuaA genes in Bacillus subtilis and related genes in other bacteria. The ydaO/yuaA element is thought to act as a genetic "off" switch for the ydaO and yuaA genes in its native state.
Source: Rfam
ACCUUUUAAUCGCUUAAUCUCAAUGAGCGGGGGAACCAUUUUUUGAUAAGAUGAAAUACUUAUCUAGGGGUGAAUCUUACUUGCUAGUAAGAUGGGAUACUCUCAGUCCCUAAUCCGACAGCUAACCCCGUAAGCGUCCAUAAACACGAGAG